Molecule: ribosomal RNA, 23 nt
Filed under: Solanum aviculare
Lineage: Eukaryota; Viridiplantae; Streptophyta; Magnoliopsida; Solanales; Solanaceae
Source: RNAcentral
CCCCUGGGAGUGUAGGCCUCCCU